Molecule: ribosomal RNA, 329 nt
Filed under: uncultured eukaryote
Lineage: Eukaryota
Description: partial 18S ribosomal RNA
Rfam family: Eukaryotic small subunit ribosomal RNA
Source: RNAcentral
CCCUUAGAUGUUCUGGGCCGCACGCGCGCUACAAUGAUGAAUUCAACGAGUUUAUAACCUUGGUUGAAAAGCCUGGGUAAUCUUUUGAACUUUCGUCGUGAUGGGGCUAGACCCUUGCAAUUAUUGGUCUCCAACGAGGAAUUCCUAGUAAACGCAAGUCAUCAGCUUGCAUUGAUUACGUCCCUGCCCUUUGUACACACCGCCCGUCGCACCUACCGAUUGAAUGGUCCGGUGAAAUCUUCGGAUUGAGACUUUGAUUUCUUCACGGAAAACGCUGUUUUAAAAAGUUGAUUAAACCUUACUAUUUAGAGGAAGGUGAAGUCGUAACA